CCUGGGCCACCGCAGUGGAGCGUGCGAACUUAACCACUUGGCCAUGGAGCUGGCCCUCACUCUUUAAAUUCUAAGAAUGUCCUUCUUCUCUGCUUCUUCUCUGUGGGCAGACACUUGGACAUUAGGAUACAUGCAAGGUAUUAGUGUUUUUCAUGUUAUUGUGGAUUUUAAUCUGGUUUUAAAACUCUGGAACACUACUGAUGUUUGCAAACAUUUCUGAAACUAAACUUUUUAUUAACUAUAUAUUUCAUAGGUACCUAUUGUAAUAGAAGCCUCCAGCAGAAAAUUUCUUUUCCUUUACUUUUAUUUUUGUUACCCUAUUGUACUUUGGAAAUGUCCUGCUGUAUGUAGGAAACCCCUCUAUUCUUACCUAAUUAUUGGUGCUGUUGAAGGAAAAUACGCUUUACCUUCUCUUCCGUUCUCUUUAAGGAAAGCCUAGCCACCACCACGCACCCUGUUGCCCUUAUGGAAAGGGAAGCUGCUAGGCAGCUCCCAGCUUUCCGGAGAGGGGGCUCACUGGUGAAUGACAAGCAUCCCUGGUGUUUGUAGACCCCUGAAAUUAGGCUCUGGACUUGGAGUAUGUGAGGCCCAAAGCCCAAUCCUACAGGCCAGGGCCACUGGGGAUCUCUAGUUGGGUAUGCCUGGGGCUGUGAGAAUGUGUCUCUUCUAUUUUUGUCUCCUCUGCUCCUUUCCCACCUUUUCUCCCCCAAGGUAACAGAAAUAGCAAUGUUCCAACGUCCAGGGUCACAGGAGUCCAGAGUGGCCAAGGUUCCUCCAGGGCAGGCACAAAGGUCCCAGGUCUCUGUCUCCAGGCAUGCGGCUGGGACCUGAGCCACAUCCAAAUACACCUCAGCAUGCAGGGUCUGCCCUGGCUGCCACCUGGCCCCUCUGAGGCCCAACCAUUCGUCCGGGUCACUGGGGAAGAACCCUAGGGAACAUGCUGGCCUUCUCCAGGCAGCAGCUUGGCAAGGGCCCAGCUUGGGGCCCUCCCUGGGGAGCCAGCCCUCACCCAGCCCGGCUGAGUCCUCUGACGCAGGCGCUCCUCAGCCGCACCAGGCAGAGCCUCUGGGGCUGGCCCUGCAGUGCCCCAGCUGCAGGUUCUCUCCUCCCUGUUCCCUCUCGCCUCUUCCCACACCUCCCGCCCAGGAUUCCCGAGGACUUUGUCAGGGUGCCUCAUGCCAACGUCACACCUACCUUGGCUCAGAGAGCGUGAGACAGUGUGCAUGCCACCCAGGGGCCGCUCCUUCCAGCUCCCAGCUUGACAGCAGGGCAACAGCUUAAUAGCACUCACCUUCCUUCCCUCAACACUGGCUGGGGAGGUUUUCCUUCAUCUUUCAUUGUCUUCUUCCAUCUAUUAGGAAGCACAGUGGUUAAGCUCUCCGUCUCAGACUGAAAUUGCUGGGUUCAAAUCCCGGCUGUCCCACCUACUGGGUUGAAUCCCUUAACCUCUCUGUGCCUCAGUUUGCUCUCUGUGAAAGGGGGCCAAUAAUCAUCCCUGUCUCAUAAGGCUGUUGUGAGGAUUAAAUGAGGCAAUGCAUGUAAGGAGCUUAGAAAAAUUUCUGGCACGUAGCGAAGGCUUACUAAAUGUUAUUUGUUGGCUAACAUCUAGAUUUGCCAGGUGUCCUCUGUGGUCACCACCAUUUGGUCCCUACAGUGGGCAGCACACAAUUCCAGGCACUAAAGGGGAGUGUGAGAAAUUGAAGCCGUGGUCCUCCUUCUCUGCCCUUGGGUCCCCUUGGGGAAACCCUGAAAGCACCCGCGUCGUAGAUUUUUGUGGUGCUUCAUGGCCACCUUCUCAUAAAUCCCUUGAAGGCUCUGCCUGUGUUUGGAUAACAUCUCACGUUUGAAGUCCAUGCCUCCCCAAGGGAUGAGCCAGAACUCAAUUUCCCAGCCUCCCCUGCAGUGGUAAACAGGUACAUGACCCAGGUUGCACCAAUCUGAUGCAUUCAUGUGAGAUCCUGAGGAAGCAGAAGACUUCAGGUUCCUCAAGAGCAAGUGACUUUCCCACCCUUCUCUAUAGAGAGUGUUAUGGGUUGAGUUGUGUCCACCCCCCAAGAAAAGGCAUGCUGGAGUCCUACCCUCCUGCCCCCGCCCCCGCCACCGCGUACCUCAGAAUGUGACCUCUUUUGGAGAUAGAGUCUUUUCAGAGAUAAACAAGUUAAUGAGGUCGUUAGGGUGGGCUCUAGUCCAAGAUGAUUAAGUGUCCUUAUAAAAAGUGGAAGUUUGGACACAGACACACACACAGGGAGAACACCAUGCACAGAUGAAGGCAGAGACUGCAGUGAUGCAUCUGCAAGCCGAGGAACGCUAAAGAUCGCCAGCAACCACCAGAAGCCAGGAGAGGGAACGGAACAGAUUCUCCCUCCCAGCCCUCACAGCCUCUCCAAAGGAACCAACCCUGCCCAGAUCUUGAUCUUGGAUAUCCAGCCUCUAGAACUGUGAGAAAACACAUUUCUGCUGUUUAACCCACCCAGUUUGUGGUACUUUGUUACAGCCACCCUGGGAGAUGAAUACAGAGGGGACGCCCCUGUGCUUUUGUGUCAAAUGUAAGCUCCUUGAGAGCAGGAAAUUUUGUCUGUUUCAUUUACUGGUACUAAAUGGUACCCAUGAAAUAUCUGUUCAAUAAAGGAGUGUCUUCUUCAGAGUUCACAGCACAGGACACACAGGACAAAGAAAGCAAGACUGUAUACUUUUCAUCCAUUGCCACCCACCCUAGCUGUGGUCAGGGAGGGACCAGACCUGCCAUUUCCCCUGCAGAUGGCUGCAGAGCCCACCUGAGGCAACAGGGCCUCAGGAGCUGUGUGGGCAGCAUGUUCUGGUAGAUGGACCUGCAGCCUUGUGGCUUUCAGGCCUGGCCUGAUUGCUGAAGAGAUGUUAGACACCCUACUCCAACUCUCAUUUUAAAACAAAGCGCAUGAGCCCCAGGGAGGGUUUAAGUAACUCCCUGACCAGUCCCUUUCCACGGCACGGCAUGGUGCGGUGCCCCCAGAUGAACCUCAGGAUCCACCAAAAGACACAUCAGCAUGGACCAUUUCAAGAUACCUUCCAUGCUAUUUUGCCUAACCAAAGGUUUCUUCCUCUUUAUUUUAUUUUAUUUUUUUCAUGCACACGGAGGAGGCACUUCAUGGCAGGGAGAACUUCCGAGUUUUGAAGAGAAAUGACAGCUAUGUCUGUGUGCUGAAUUUCACCUACUGAUGAGACGGCUGAUUGGGCGGCUGUUGGGCCCUCUCCAAGCAUGCUACAACCGCCCUGGGUCUCGACAAGUCUCAGCGCCGCAGGGCUGGAAGGGCCUUCCUGGCCAACCCCUGCCCCGAGCCAGGACACACCUUUAAGUGGACAACUUUCCACUGUCCUCCAAUAUUGCUCCCCUACGCCAGUCAACAAAAGAAACCUCAAGAUUGUGAGUUAAAGGUAAUCACAAUAGUAGUAUAAUUACUAUUCUCAACGAACUGCACAUGGAAUACCCACUUGUUAAUGAAGCAAACGUUUCAUUGUGGACUAACGUCCUCCCGCAACUCCUUUCUUAAUCCUCAACUGGUGUAGAGGCUGGGAAUGUUAACUUAUUUUAAUUAUUAGCCUAGCGUAAAUUGAGAAACACAUUCUGCUCUUACUGAAUCAGAAAUAAAAUACAAUUAUGACUUUUCUUUCCUUUUGAAUGUUGUGUUUUGCAGCUUCCCAUCUUAGGUACAACCAAAAAUCAACUUUAUAAAAAGAAUAACUUCUUUGUUUUUUUGGCUUUAUUUUUCAAAGCACAGUGUAGGCUGAGAGGGCAUAAAGGACUAGUGUGACAAACCACAUUGGAUUACUGACAAGUGGGUUGUCCACAGCCUCUAAGGCAGGGGGAAUUCAAACUCAAAGGUGCAGAGCCUGUAAGAAUGCAAAUUCCUGGGCCCUGGGCCCAGGGAUCCUGAUUUAGCAGGUCUGGGGUGGGGCCUAAAAUUCUGCAUUUUUAAAUGAGCAUCAUGGGUAAUUCUGACACAAGUAGCUACCCAACCACAUUCUGAGCUGCAUCCAGAGGGGUUAUGGCUGUGGCUCAUAAGCCCAGGAAUCAGCAGGACACCCCGCAGCUGCUGCUCUCCUCCCAGCCAGACCUUCCCUGGAAUGUAUAUUCCAGGAAAAUAUCUAUAUAUCUAUUUUUAAAUAAUGUUAGGUUUUUUCUCCUUGGUUAUAAAGCUAAUGCAGACAACUUAUAUGAUGCCAUAAUAAAAAAAAAAUAACAAAAUCACUCACAAUCCUGCCACAAGAUGGGGGGAAACUGUUAACAUUAUGCUGUUCUUUUCUUCCUUGUAUAUUUCUUAUAAAGUUGACACCAUACUAAAUAUAUCAUUUUAUUUUAUUUUUC
Non-coding RNA from Equus caballus (horse), 4342 nucleotides. The record is from RefSeq and is a predicted model, not a curated record. NCBI's taxonomy places the organism in Eukaryota, Metazoa, Chordata, Mammalia, Perissodactyla, Equidae.